AUCCAGCUGAUGAGUCCUGAAUAGGACGAAACGCGCAUCCUAGAU
This 45-nucleotide non-coding RNA is filed under the name Schistosoma margrebowiei. The record is from RNAcentral. Lineage: Eukaryota; Metazoa; Platyhelminthes; Trematoda; Strigeidida; Schistosomatidae.